RNAcentral lists this transfer RNA (73 nucleotides) under Candidatus Woesearchaeota archaeon. RNAcentral's name for it is "tRNA-Thr". It matches the Rfam family "tRNA". From Rfam's summary of the family: Transfer RNA (tRNA) molecules are approximately 80 nucleotides in length. Their secondary structure includes four short double-helical elements and three loops (D, anti-codon, and T loops). The record is from RNAcentral. Lineage: Archaea; Nanobdellati; Candidatus Woesearchaeota.
GCCUCCGUGGCUUAGUGGCUAUAGCGGCUGCCUAGUAAGCAGCAGGUCCCGAGUUCAAAUCUCGGCGGAGGCU